CCCAACUGUUACAACAACACAGCAAAUUUUGGCACAUCAGUUUGGCAAACCUACAAAUCAGUUAUUGUAUAACUUCCCUGGGAGUCUUUGUAGAUACUGCCAAAUUUUUGAAUGACAGACAAACAGAGGGUGUGUGUGUGCGUGCUUCAGUGGGGUGUUACUCACAGUUUUAUUUGCCCAUUCUGCGAAUUGCAUCCCGACACAUGGUAGGUGUACAAGAGAGGACAGCGUAUCUGAACCAUUGCAGCUUGCCUGAGUACAUUAAUAAAGCUUCAGCGUUGCACCAAAAGUCAAUGGCUCUGGCCCGGACAUCAGGUAGACGGCAGGAAAUCACUCCUAUCAGCAGCAAGAGUCCUAGAGGAGCAUACAGGGGGGGUGACUGACGAGCUGCCAUCUGGCUCCUCUUUGCUGCAGUACCAGCAGCAGGUCGCUGGGGGAGCUGGAGCCUAUCCCAGCUGACUAUGGACAAGAGGUGAGGUACAC
This is a long non-coding RNA of Scatophagus argus, 483 nucleotides long. RefSeq lists it as uncharacterized. Lineage: Eukaryota; Metazoa; Chordata; Actinopteri; Scatophagidae. The record is from RefSeq and is a predicted model, not a curated record. The transcript is spliced from 3 exons.